Molecule: long non-coding RNA, 503 nt
Filed under: Rosa chinensis
Lineage: Eukaryota; Viridiplantae; Streptophyta; Magnoliopsida; Rosales; Rosaceae
Description: sRNA RchiOBHm_Chr3g0481041
Source: RNAcentral
UGCCUUGGUGACUAAAAGAAAGAAAGUCUCUCUACAUCAACAUAAAACUCUACUAGGUUUUUAGGACACUUUGUUGUUUUUCCUAUUCCUUCAUUUCUUUAAGCCUUAAGCCUUAGCCCCAUUAUAACCUGAAUUAAGACCUCUUUGAUCCUUGAGAUGGAAAGCCUUUGAUCUGUGGAGAUCAGUCACAAGAGUUGAGCAUAUGGUUUGGGUCCAUUUGUGCAUGCAUUGAUAUUCUUCAUGAGAUCUUUAAAAAUAUAUUCAUGUUUUUCGAAGCUUUGUUUUCUAUAUGUGAGCUAUUUGUUUGUUUUGAUAUAUCAUCUCUCACAUAUACUUGAGCGAAUGAAAGCUUUUAAGCAUGACCCUUGAAUCUGAGAGAAGAAAGAGUGGAUACCUUGUGAGGAUUUGAAUCAUAACUUGUCUGAAGCAUGCAUAGCGCCAUUGACCUCACUAUUGUAGCCCCCAAGUCCUACUUGUGUUUUGUGUUUAACUUGGUGCCAUAA